GCUCAUGGAGCUUAACUAAAGCAUGGCACUGACGAGAUGUAGACAAACCCUAGAGUGGUUUCGUGGGCA
This 69-nucleotide transfer RNA is filed under the name Oryzias dancena. RNAcentral's name for it is "tRNA-Phe". Lineage: Eukaryota; Metazoa; Chordata; Actinopteri; Beloniformes; Adrianichthyidae. The record is from RNAcentral.